Molecule: ribosomal RNA, 253 nt
Filed under: uncultured bacterium
Lineage: Bacteria
Description: partial 16S ribosomal RNA
Rfam family: Bacterial small subunit ribosomal RNA
Source: RNAcentral
UACGUAGGGUGCGAGCGUUAAUCGGAAUUACUGGGCGUAAAGCGUGCGCAGGCGGCUUUUUAAGCCAGAUGUGAAAUCCCCGGGCUUAACCUGGGAACUGCAUUUGUGACUGCAAGGCUAGAGUGUAGCAGAGGGGGGUAGAAUUCCACGUGUAGCAGUGAAAUGCGUAGAUAUGUGGAGGAAUACCGAUGGCGAAGGCAGCCCCCUGGGCUAACACUGACGCUCAUGCACGAAAGCGUGGGGAGCAAACAGG